Molecule: ribosomal RNA, 395 nt
Filed under: uncultured bacterium
Lineage: Bacteria
Description: partial 16S ribosomal RNA
Rfam family: Bacterial small subunit ribosomal RNA
Source: RNAcentral
AUACGUAGGGUGCAAGCGUUAAUCGGAAUUACUGGGCGUAAAGCGUGCGCAGGCGGUUUUGUAAGACAGUGGUGAAAUCCCCGGGCUCAACCUGGGAACUGCCAUUGUGACUGCAAGGCUGGAGUGCGGCAGAGGGGGAUGGAAUUCCGCGUGUAGCAGUGAAAUGCGUAGAUAUGCGGAGGAACACCGAUGGCGAAGGCAAUCCCCUGGGCCUGCACUGACGCUAGGGCACGAAGGCGUGGGGGGCAAACAGGAUUAGAUACCCUGGUAGUCCCCGCCCUAAACGAUGUCAACUGGUUGUUGGGGAUUUAUUUUCUCAGUAACGAAGCUAACGCGUGAAGUGGACCGCCGGGGGAGUACGGCCGCAAGGUUAAAACUCAAAGGAAUUGACGGGG